RNAcentral lists this ribosomal RNA (253 nucleotides) under uncultured bacterium. Its description in RNAcentral is "partial 16S ribosomal RNA". It matches the Rfam family "Bacterial small subunit ribosomal RNA", at positions 524 to 776 of the family's 1533-position model. The record is from RNAcentral.
UACGGAGGGUGCAAGCGUUGUUCGGAAUUAUUGGGAGUAAAGAGUGUGUAGGCGGCUUGGUAAGUGAGUUGUGAAAGCCCGGGGCCCAACCCCGGAAUUGCAUCUGAAACUGCCUGGCUAGAGUCCCGGAGAGGAAGGCAGAAUUCCCGGUGUAGGGGUGAAAUCCGUAGAUAUCGGGAGGAAUACCAGCGGCGAAGGCGGCCUUCUGGACGGUGACUGACGCUGAGACGCGAAAGCGUGGGGAGCAAACAGG